RNAcentral lists this ribosomal RNA (489 nucleotides) under uncultured bacterium. RNAcentral describes it as "bacterial SSU rRNA". It matches the Rfam family "Bacterial small subunit ribosomal RNA", at positions 28 to 518 of the family's 1533-position model. The record is from RNAcentral.
GAUGAACGCUGGCGGCGUGCUUAACACAUGCAAGUCGAACGAAGCAAUUCUUGGAAGCCUUCGGGUGGAAGAGCGAUUGACUGAGUGGCGGACGGGUGAGUAACGCGUGGGUAACCUGCCUCAUACAGGGGGAUAACAGCCGGAAACGGCUGCUAAUACCGCAUAAGCACACAGCAUCGCAUGAUGAUGUGUGAAAAACUCCGGUGGUAUGAGAUGGACCCGCGUCUGAUUAGCUAGUUGGUAAGGUAACGGCUUACCAAGGCGACGAUCAGUAGCCGGCCUGAGAGGGUGAUCGGCCACAUUGGGACUGAGACACGGCCCAAACUCCUACGGGAGGCAGCAGUGGGGAAUAUUGCACAAUGGGGGAAACCCUGAUGCAGCGACGCCGCGUGAGUGAAGAAGUAUUUCGGUAUGUAAAGCUCUAUCAGCAGGGAAGAAAAUGACGGUACCUGACUAAGAAGCCCCGGCUAACUACGUGCCAGCCGCCGC